Molecule: ribosomal RNA, 641 nt
Filed under: Streptomyces sp.
Lineage: Bacteria; Bacillati; Actinomycetota; Actinomycetes; Kitasatosporales; Streptomycetaceae
Description: bacterial SSU rRNA
Rfam family: Bacterial small subunit ribosomal RNA
Source: RNAcentral
GUGGCGAACGGGUGAGUAACACGUGGGCAAUCUGCCCUUCACUCUGGGACAAGCCCUGGAAACGGGGUCUAAUACCGGAUAACACUCUGUCCCUCAUGGGGCGGGGUUAAAAGCUCCGGCGGUGAAGGAUGAGCCCGCGGCCUAUCAGCUUGUUGGUGGGGUAAUGGCCUACCAAGGCGACGACGGGUAGCCGGCCUGAGAGGGCGACCGGCCACACUGGGACUGAGACACGGCCCAGACUCCUACGGGAGGCAGCAGUGGGGAAUAUUGCACAAUGGGCGAAAGCCUGAUGCAGCGACGCCGCGUGAGGGAUGACGGCCUUCGGGUUGUAAACCUCUUUCAGCAGGGAAGAAGCGAAAGUGACGGUACCUGCAGAAGAAGCACCGGCUAACUACGUGCCAGCAGCCGCGGUAAUACGUAGGGUGCGAGCGUUGUCCGGAAUUAUUGGGCGUAAAGAGCUCGUAGGCGGCUUGUCACGUCGGAUGUGAAAGCUCGGGGCUUAACCCCGAGUCUGCAUUCGAUACGGGCUAGCUAGAGUGUGGUAGGGGAGAUCGGAAUUCCUGGUGUAGCGGUGAAAUGCGCAGAUAUCAGGAGGAACACCGGUGGCGAAGGCGGAUCUCUGGGCCAUUACUGACGCUGAG